CAGAUACUCCCUUCGUUCGGAAUUACUUGUCUCGAAAAUGGAUGUAUCUAGAACUAAAAUACAUCUAGAUACAUCCAUUUCUGCGACAAAUAAUUCUAAACGGAGGGAGUACGUA
Triticum aestivum (bread wheat) is the source of this 115-nucleotide non-coding RNA. The record is from Rfam. NCBI's taxonomy places the organism in Eukaryota, Viridiplantae, Streptophyta, Magnoliopsida, Poales, Poaceae.